GAUGAAGAACGUAGUGAAAUGCGAUAAGUAAUGUGAAUUGCAGAAUUCAGUGAAUCAUCGAGUCUUUGAACGCACAUUGCGCCCCCUGGUAUUCCGGGGGGCAUGCCUGUCCGAGCGUCAUUGCCGCCCUCAAGCACGGCUUGUGUGUUGGGCCCCCGCCCCCCGGCUUCGGGGGGCGGGCCCGAAAGGCAGCGGCGGCACCGCGUCCGGUCCUCGAGCGUAUGGGGCUUCGUCACCCGCUCUGUAGGCCCGGCCGGCGCCCGCCGGCGACCCCAAUAAUCUUUCCAGGUUGACCUCGGAUCAGGUAGGGAUACCCGCUGAACUUAAGCAUAUCAAUAAGCGGAGGA
This 347-nucleotide unclassified non-coding RNA is filed under the name soil metagenome. Its description in RNAcentral is "partial contains 5.8S ribosomal RNA, internal transcribed spacer 2, and large subunit ribosomal RNA". The stretch from base 1 to 120 matches the Rfam family "5.8S ribosomal RNA", at positions 35 to 154 of the family's 154-position model. The record is from RNAcentral.